Molecule: long non-coding RNA, 2316 nt
Organism: Pan troglodytes (chimpanzee)
Lineage: Eukaryota; Metazoa; Chordata; Mammalia; Primates; Hominidae
Exons: 4
Source: RefSeq, a predicted model, not a curated record
GUCGAUUGUCCUGAGUUCCAGAGCCUCAAAGAGCACCCAGCAUAACUGUGGGAGAAUAGUAAGCAUUGGACACAAAAUGUUGAAAACAUUCAAGUACAGAAUAAACUAUUACUACGAAUACGCUCAUAUGACACAAGAACAAUCUCUGAGCUUCUUUGAGGAUGUCCAGAUGACUGCUGACUGCACUAAUUGCAUCAAUCGUGUAUCCAUACAGGUUCUUUCUAUAAAAUAGUGGUCGCUAGUUGUGAGGCGUUAAGCCUUCAUGGAUAUAAACAGACUAUUCCACCUAAGUGAUCUGGCAGAAGCUUAGUUUUCUACCACAACAUCCACGGUCCUCCCUCCCUCCCUUCCUAGCUGGUCAGAAAAGCUACUCAGAAUAAAGACUACAUUUCCCAGCCAUCUUUGCAGCUAGGUUUAUCCACCUGACUAAAUUCCACCGUAACUCCAGGUUGAAGAACUUCUACUUAUAGGCAUCUAUUCAACAAAGACGAAUCCUGGAAUGGGGAUGGAAAUGAUGGCUCAUGUCUUAGCAAACUACCAAACUGAUCCGAGAGGACAGGGAAGUCAGUGUGGGCGGCUCUAAGGAGCCUCCCUCUCUACAGCUGCGGCUCAGAGGAUUACGGCGCUUCAUCCACAAGGCAACAUUGCACAAGUAGCUUUUGAACAAAAGUCAUGGAUACUAUUAAUGAUAUGGUAAUCCUUAAUCGAGCUACCUCCCAGUAGUGAUUAUACUGACAUGGGAAGAAUAUCUAAGUCGUGGAGGCAGCCCACAACAACACUGUGUCAUUGUUCACCCCGGGCUCGACCAGGACUAACUUUUACCAGCAUCUCUAACGUCACCUUUCCCCUGAUGCCUCCCCACAACCCCUGGCCCCAGCUCCCAUUCCCGCCCCAUCAUAGCAAAAAAGUAGCAAAGAAAACCCUGAUCCUAAAUCUUUUUCUGGAUUUUUUUUUGCAAGUUCCCACACACAUUUAGUGUCGUCUCAAAAUUCACGCUGUCAACUGUCUCUAGGAAUCAUUUCCAUCUGAGAACAGACCACACAAAGGUUAGUUCGGUGGGUCUCAGUGAAGAUGUUUUAAUUGUCUGACAAUAGAUCUUCCAUCAUUUGACUUGCAAAUACUGUCCUCUUGCUCUCAGAUAACAUGUUCAGAAUUAGACCAUUUGUCAAUAAAUUUCCCAAAACUCCUUAAUUAUGAUACUGAGAUACAAGUGGUUUGCCAUUUGACAAGACUCAAUUACAAUCCAGCAGGGAAAAUCUUAUGGCUCACUAAACUGUGGGACCCCCCGAAAGGCCAAACUUAAUUUACUCAUAGAUGAGUCCCCUUAACAUAAGGAAAGUGACCUUCAUAAAGACAGAAUAUAUCUAUGAUUUUUAUGUAAUUUAUGUGUGGGAUAAACAUGUUCAAAUGACUUGUAAAUGUACUAAUGAAGCUAAAGAAACUAUACCCUAACUACCACCCUGACCUAAUUAUUCUUUUUCCAUAGCUCAUUAAUAUUUUUAAAUGAUGCCAUUUCUCUGCCAUUCAAAACAAAUCUAAACAAAACCAAUAACUGAUAUAAUUUUAUGGAUACCCUCCCAUAUUCAUGAGACCACAUAGAUGAUCUUUCUAAACCCCAUAAUACGCUGUGCCAACACACAGUGAAAUUGGGAUGUGAAAAAAGUCUGCUUUUUCUAACAAAUAUCUCUGGAGGAGAUCAUUGUUCUAAAUCAGCUUUUCAUUAUUCUUUGCUAAAAAAAAAAAAACUGUUGGAAAAUACACAUAUUUUUAGCAGAACUGCCAUCUUUAACCAAUGUGAGAUGUAUACAUUUUAUCCAAUAUAUGACUAUAAAGAACAAACAAAAAAUUGUCUACAUAUAACAUUAUUAGAGGCCGCAGCCAUAAAUAGGUUCAUAUUGAGCACUAUGAUAAUUUAUAAAAUACUUUAGAGCCACAAAACUAAUGUACUGACUUCUAUGUUAAAAUUAAUAAUUAAUUGAUUUUGUUUGAAGGCUGGAUUUGGGCAAAAUGAUAAGGGCAGAAACUUUCCCUCUUCAUUUUAGAUACACUUUAUUUUUGGAUAUUUAUGAUAACCCAUUAUUGCUUUUCCAACUUAAAAGUAAGAGUAAGUGACAAAAACACAUGAAGUGCCUGAAAUGUCUGAAUAUCUUAUCGUCUCUAAGUGGUUUUGUUUUCUGAAUUUAUUCAUAUGAAAGUGCCACUGUGGCAAUUUCACAGUCCCAGCAAAGUACAGAGUAAAAGUUUUGAGAUUCUGGUUUAUGUAAAAAUUGGCUACACAAAUCAAUACAUCAUGUCAAAUAAAAGCACAGAAGCUUU